GUUUAUUUAUUACAAUAAUGGUUUUGAAAGCCUUUAAAGGUAAUAUAAUUAUUACCAAUAAAUA
RNAcentral lists this transfer RNA (64 nucleotides) under Mexistrophia reticulata. RNAcentral's name for it is "tRNA-Ser". The record is from RNAcentral. Lineage: Eukaryota; Metazoa; Mollusca; Gastropoda; Stylommatophora; Cerionidae.